This is a small nuclear RNA of Pongo abelii (Sumatran orangutan), 106 nucleotides long. Lineage: Eukaryota; Metazoa; Chordata; Mammalia; Primates; Hominidae. The record is from Ensembl.
UGCUGACUUCAGCAGCAAGUAUACUAAAAUUAGAAUGACACAGAGGAGCUCAGCAUGGCCCCCUGUGCAAGAAGAUCCUCAGAUUCAUGCCGCAUUCCAUAUUUUU